RNAcentral lists this unclassified non-coding RNA (256 nucleotides) under Glomus sp. RNAcentral describes it as "partial contains 5.8S ribosomal RNA and internal transcribed spacer 2". The stretch from base 1 to 71 matches the Rfam family "5.8S ribosomal RNA", at positions 84 to 154 of the family's 154-position model. Lineage: Eukaryota; Fungi; Glomeromycota; Glomeromycetes; Glomerales; Glomeraceae. The record is from RNAcentral.
GUGAAUCAUCGAAUCUUUGAACGCAAAUUGCACUUUCUGGUAUUCCGGAAAGUAUGCCUGUUUGAGGUUCUGUUAAAUAAAAAUCGGUGUUGGUGCUGCUGUUCGUGGUUACGCGUCGUAAUUGAAUUGGCUUACCUUCGUUUAAUUUACUUAAAAUGUUGCAUGAUUUACGAACGUAUUUAAAUUUCUUACGUACGGUUGAGAUAUCGAAUACUUUAUUAGGUUCGGUUAUCAUCAUGAUGCGCUACGAUAUGUU